This is a long non-coding RNA of Stegostoma tigrinum, 1087 nucleotides long. RefSeq lists it as uncharacterized. NCBI's taxonomy places the organism in Eukaryota, Metazoa, Chordata, Chondrichthyes, Orectolobiformes, Stegostomatidae. The record is from RefSeq and is a predicted model, not a curated record. The transcript is spliced from 3 exons.
CCCCAAUAAAGAUGGUGGCGGUCACACGCGCCUAUCGCUCUCGGAAGCAUUGAUUUGUUUUCUUCAACCGUGAGUCUGGGAGAUUCAAAUUGUGUGUUUUUCGACGUGCGGAAUUCACAACAUCCCUCCUGCUGGCUGAGGAUGACCAGAUCGUAAGGAAUUCUCAUUUGGCUGACGAGACACGAUCAACACUUUGUCUGUUCUGCGUGCAGGGUCUCAGCGAAGAUCUGAAGAGACUUUGUACAACUGGAGGUUUCACUGUUUAAGGAACUGUCGCCAAUUUUACUGCUUACAUCAGCCAGUGCAUCGGAGGUCUGCAGAGCCGGCAACUGAUCGAAUCGGGGGGAGCUGGUUACAUUGAAACUACAUUUAAACUCUCUCCCAACUGAGAAAGGCCUCAAAUAUUUAUCACAGUUUCAAGCAAACUACAAAACACAUAUAGAAUCGUGAAUUGAAUUAUUGAUCAUGUAUCAUCCAUGUGUUAGGAUGACAGAAUGAAAGAACACUGCUGAUGGUUCAAAUCUGAAAGACUAAAAGUGAAUGUGAGAGACACCCAGCAGGGCAGAAUCUAAUCUAUCAGCAGGGAAUCUCUCCACCCUCAGAGACUGGGGUUAGAUUCUUUCGAGCAGAAUAGACUGAGCAAGGGUCACCAGCCACAAAAGGUUAACACUUUUUUCUUCUUCACAGAUGCAGCCAGACCUGCUGAGAUUUUCUAGAAACUUCUGUUUUUGUUAUACACCGAGUGACGGGGGAGAGGGGAGGGUGGUGAGGAAGUGGGUGUGAUGUAUACAUUUAUGAGGGAAACAGACAGAGUAAACAAGAUGAAUCUUUGUGCUUGGCGGUGGGAGCAAUAUCGCGGGGACAAGGACAGACACUUUAGAUGAGAUGUGAGGAUUUUUUUUCACUCAGAUAGUGGGAAUCUGAAACUCACAGCCUGGAAAUGUGGGAGAGGUGAAAACAAUCAUCACAUUCCACUGGUCUUUAGCUGUAUAAAAUAAGCGCUGAAAGAACUGUGGAUGUUGUAUAUCAGAAACAAAACAGAUAUUGUUGACAAAGUUCAUAAUAAUAAAAUGUGUAGCUGGAUGAA